Molecule: ribosomal RNA, 468 nt
Filed under: uncultured bacterium
Lineage: Bacteria
Description: partial 16S ribosomal RNA
Rfam family: Bacterial small subunit ribosomal RNA
Source: RNAcentral
GACGAACGCUGGCGGCGUGCUUAACACAUGCAAGUCGAACGGAAAGGCCCUGCUUUUGUGGGGUGCUCGAGUGGCGAACGGGUGAGUAACACGUGAGUAACCUGCCCUUGACUUUGGGAUAACUUCAGGAAACUGGGGCUAAUACCGGAUAGGAGCUCCUGCUGCAUGGUGGGGGUUGGAAAGUUUCGGCGGUUGGGGAUGGACUCGCGGCUUAUCAGCUUGUUGGUGGGGUAGUGGCUUACCAAGGCUUUGACGGGUAGCCGGCCUGAGAGGGUGACCGGCUACACUGGGACUGAGAUACGGCCCAGCCUCCUACGGGAGGAAGCAGUGGGCAAUAUUGCACACUGGGCGGAAGCCUGAUGCAGCACCGCCGCGUGCGGGAUGACGCCCUUCGGGUUGUAGACCGCUUUCGCAUGUGACGAAGCGUGAGUGACGGUAAUGGGUAAAGACGCACCGGCUACAUACGUG